This 455-nucleotide ribosomal RNA is filed under the name uncultured bacterium. RNAcentral describes it as "bacterial SSU rRNA". It matches the Rfam family "Bacterial small subunit ribosomal RNA", at positions 346 to 793 of the family's 1533-position model. The record is from RNAcentral.
AGGCAGCAGUGGGGAAUUUUGGACAAUGGGCGAAAGCCUGAUCCAGCAAUGCCGCGUGCAGGAAGAAGGCCUUCGGGUUGUAAACUGCUUUUGUACGGAACGAAACGGUCUGCUUUAAUACAGUGGGCUAAUGACGGUACCGUAAGAAUAAGCACCGGCUAACUACGUGCCAGCAGCCGCGGUAAUACGUAGGGUGCGAGCGUUAAUCGGAAUUACUGGGCGUAAAGCGUGCGCAGGCGGUUAUAUAAGACAGUUGUGAAAUCCCCGGGCUCAACCUGGGAAUUGCAUCUGUGACUGUAUAGCUAGAGUACGGUAGAGGGGGAUGGAAUUCCGCGUGUAGCAGUGAAAUGCGUAGAUAUGCGGAGGAACACCGAUGGCGAAGGCAAUCCCCUGGACCUGUACUGACGCUCAUGCACGAAAGCGUGGGGAGCAAACAGGAUUAGAUACCCUGGUAG